CUAACGAGAAAAUGAAGUUCAAAAGAAAAUGUCAGUGGAAUGUCUCUUUUUGGAUCUUCUUGGCCUAAGCUGGACUGGGAAGAGCUGAAAAGCUUUUUUUCUGGAACAGCUGAUUGUGAGUUUUUUUCUGCAGCUUGCAAAUCAAAAGUACAGAUAAAUGAAGGCAAACAUCCCAGUGGUGGCCUGUUUGAGACCUGCCUGCAUCAAGUCUUUGAGAGGUGUGUUGUUUACCACUGGCACAUUCACUGAGGCAAACUACAGCUGUGUUUUCCCUUUUACAAAGAAAAAAACAAACUUGAAGAUGGAAUAUUUGAAAUUCCCAUGAGGCAAAUGUGAAAGAGAAACUCUUAUUUUGCAAAUCUGCCUAUGUUGCAUGAGCCAAUCCACAUUUUUUGAUGAGUGGAGUUGCCAGCAAUGCAUGCCAGGUUGGUUUUGAAUCUGAUGUGCUUCCCUUGGGCAUCUAGUGCUCCUAAUUCAACAGCAAGGAAGAAAAGAGCCAGGACCACUUUUAUUCUGGGAAAGGGCCUACAAAAAGCAGCACAGCUCUGCAUGCAGAUCUGGAUAUUAUUGUGGAAAUUAAACUAGUUAUUCAUAGCCAAAUUUCACCUGCAAUGGAUCAGCAUUACUUGUGAUUAAAGCUAGUAUGUUUGUUUUGCCAA
This is a long non-coding RNA of Parus major (Great Tit), 659 nucleotides long. RefSeq lists it as uncharacterized. Lineage: Eukaryota; Metazoa; Chordata; Aves; Passeriformes; Paridae. The record is from RefSeq and is a predicted model, not a curated record. The transcript has 2 exons.